Molecule: non-coding RNA, 764 nt
Organism: Odocoileus virginianus texanus
Lineage: Eukaryota; Metazoa; Chordata; Mammalia; Artiodactyla; Cervidae
Source: RefSeq, a predicted model, not a curated record
CUCCACUCGUCCCUCCCCAGUCCCGGUGGGCCUCCUCUCUGCCCUCCUUUCCUGAUUUCCCCGAUGCACAGGCCUCUUCGCGACCUGCUCACAGUCUAGCUCGGCUCCUCCCUGUGGUUCGCUGUCGUCAUCCCCCACCCCUCUGGGGGCCCUGGAAUGUUGGGUGUCGAAUGUCCCGCGUGGAGGCAAACCCACAGACCCCGACACCUCAAGCUGAGGUGCCGCCUCGGUGGCCUCCGUGUUUUACUUUGUGUACUCUCACGACGUGUCUCUGUUCCUGCACCUUUAACUCGGUGUUUGUCCUUUUCCACCUCCGUCCCUGCCCUCUCACCCUGGAAGGGAGGGAGCCAAGGCCUCCAGCCCCUUGCAGAAGGGGAGGGGAAAUGGCCUUUAUGGUGGUCCGUGGCUCCGUCUGGCCGAGGAUGGGGUUUUGGACCGGACAAGGAGGUGAACCUGGCUCCCAGGGGAGGCAGGAAGAUGUCGCACCACAGAGCCCACCUACUGGGCUGAGCCCUGGUCAUUACCCCUGCUCCGCUGCCCGCCUCGGUGCCGCCGGAAGUCUCUUGGGUUGGACCGCUUUGGAGGUUCUGGGCUCUGCUGGGAAAAGCUGAAGAGGCAGAGAGAAAAGCACAGGUCCCUGUUCACCCCGCGGCCGCUGCCGUCACCCUAAGAAAGGGACUGGGAGCCCUCAGGUGGUCGGAGUGUUUGGAAUCCUCUGAAUCCAGGGUGAAAGUCUUGCAACAGGAAUAAAACUUUACGUCAGA